GUUAGUCAUCAGCCAUAAGGGACCAAAAAGGAACGUGAAUUGGCCAGCAAAACUUACGGCUGACCUUCACUGCAGCCGAGACAUGGCUGAUCAGCCAUUGGCUGAUUUUUAUGGCUCUUAUCUCCCACCUAAAUCACACUUAAUACCCUCUUAACACCAACCCAUUUCCUUAAAUUCCCUAGACAUUUGAAUACUGUAAUGACAAAAGCCUUCACAACCAUUUUACCAUCGCACACCAUCCUCUAUCUCUCUCCACUCUUGAUCGUCUCCCUCCCUCUCUGAUAAGCAAUCAGCCAACCACCAUCACUUGGUGGCGGCGCUCGGAGGCGGCGGCAGAACCACCACAGCAGCAGCACGGUGGUGGGUGGCGUUUCAGUGGUGGUUGCGGCCUAAAGACGGUGGUUACGGGCAGUGGCAGCGGCGACGACGAAGACGACGGUUCUGCCGUUCUUUUCCGGUGAGUUUUAAUUCGUUUUUGGGUCACAAUUCAGUUUAAUUCGAGUUUCGGUUUGUUUGGUCCUGGAACAUCGGGUCAGACUCGGUACGGUCCUUGUUCGGGAUUCGUUUUGCUUUCGGUCAAGCGGGUCAAAUACGGUCAACAUCGCGGACGCACGUCGGAGCUCGACGGAACUUACGGAUCAUCGUUCCACGGUUCGGUAUGCCUACUGGUACUUGUUUCGUUCUUUUGGAUUUCUCAAUCUUUACUCGUGCGUUACAAGGAAUUCUUAUACGCAACCAAUGUUGAUGAUGACGAUGCUAUAAAAAGAAGUAGCGUUGAUGCCUAGAUACACAUAUAGACGUUUAGGUUAAUAUGUUGUAUCAAAUUUUGCUUAUGUUGUUAUGUAUUACUUUUUGGAACUUGUUGUCAUUUGAGUUUAUGUAAUGUUGACUAUUUGAAGUUAUGAAAUGAAAUUGGGAUUAUUAAAAUAUUGUCACAAAUAGCGUUAUGAUGUCUCUAGCAAUCUUCACACUUCGUCUCAUCCCGAUGUUUCCGCCAUUGGUUGGGGUGUGACACAUACUAUGCGUUAAAAAUGCUUAAAAAGGCGAUUUGGAGCCAUUUCUGGGUUUUUAAAGAAAAGCUGAUAUUUUUAUAAUUCCAGAAGGCUCAAAAUAAUUUAUUUAUCAUAUUAAACUAGUAGAAAAAGGUUUGGGGUCAAGAAUUUGUAAAACUCAUUUUAUAGCCCAAAAGGGCAAAACCGACAAUUCCCGAGUCAAGCUUAGAACUCUAAGUUAUGCU
RNAcentral lists this long non-coding RNA (1237 nucleotides) under Helianthus annuus (common sunflower). Its description in RNAcentral is "hypothetical non coding rna". The record is from RNAcentral. Lineage: Eukaryota; Viridiplantae; Streptophyta; Magnoliopsida; Asterales; Asteraceae.